This 3696-nucleotide long non-coding RNA is filed under the name Homo sapiens (human). Its description in RNAcentral is "HSALNT0144379". Lineage: Eukaryota; Metazoa; Chordata; Mammalia; Primates; Hominidae. The record is from RNAcentral.
GGAGGGGGGAGGGGGGAGGGAUAGCAUUUGGAGAUAUACCUAAUGUUAAAUGACGAGUUACUGGGUGCAGCACACCAACAUGGCACAGGUAUACAUAUGUAACUAACCUGUACGUUGUGCACAUGUACCCUAAAACUUAAAGUAUAAUUAAAAAAAAUAAAAAGAAAGUGUAGUUAAAUAAUGGCUGUACUUUUGUAAAUUCUUCAUGAAAAGCACUGAUCAAUUAUUGAGUGAUCCAGCCAGCUUCCUCUUGUUAUCCAUCCCUGAAGCAAGUCCAAAUGCUUUGCCUAUAUUAUCCUAAUCAGGUGCCACUAAUCCCCUAGUGUCAACUAGCAGCAUGACUCACAGGAAUUAACCAGCCUCUCAUAAGUUCCUCAGAAAACCUAGCCCUUUGCCUUGAUAGAGCAACGACCCUGAAGUGUCAUAAGCAUCCUGAUUUACUAAGAAGGCUUACAUAGCAGACAUGGGCAUUCCAUCCAUCAUUUACAAAGCUCAGGUUAGGCAGUGCAACUCAGAAAAGACGCUACAAUCACUGACAUAUUUACUGUUUUCAAAUUAAUGGUAUAGUCUCCCAUUUAACCCACACAGUCUUUUUGUGAUAGAGUUAUUGUUAUUAUUAUAAUUUUAUUAUUAUUCCAAUUUCAGUUUUGCAAGUGGGAAAACUGAGUGGCCAGAGAAGCCAAGUAUCUUUGUGUGUGUGCCAAGAAUCUUCGAUAACACCACACAGCAAGGAACUGGCAGAGCUGAAACUUUCAACUAACCUUAGAGUCCUUCUCCCUCUCAACAUGUCUGAAACUACAGGAAGAAUCUUUCUAAAAGCAGCCCCCUAAAAUCACCAUCUCUAGGAAUGGUUAUAAAAAUAUUUUGAUGUGGAGAAAAAGGAUACAAUCUAAACAUUUGCCAUAGUGAAACAGCAGAACAUAUUUUCUACAUCGUAUAUCAGUCAACUUUCAGUAGGUUAUGCUACAAAACAAAUUAUCACAGCAAUUCUAGUAGUUGAAAUCAACAGAGAUGUUGCUCCCAUUCCCAUUCACAUGAGCAGAAUGCAGCUCUUUUCACAGCCUUUUCAUUCCAGGAUCCAGGCUGAAGGAUCACCUUCCAUCUGUGACAUGCCAGGAUAUAGCCAAAAUCAGACAGCAAGCAUAGAACCAUGGGGUGGCUCUUAAGGAUUCUGCUUGGACAUUGCCUGCAUAACUUCCACUCCCAUUCCAUCAGCAAAAAUAAGUCUUACGGAAAUAUCUGAUGUCAGUAGGGGGUGAAGUCAUCUCCUUUCAAAGGAAAGGCCUCCCAGAGGGGCCCUGUAGAUAUGGACCUAUUAGAGAGUGACAGCAAAUAUUUCAGACAACUCAAACAAUGUUUUACAUAUACAUACUAAGUAAUAGUAUGCAGGCUUUUGAAAAUGAAACAUUAAGUCUAUAGUUAAUGACCUGAAAAAAUAUUCAUGAUGAAUAUUGCUCUACGAUAAUUAUCCAUCUCCACCCACUAAUAUGUAAAUUCCAUGAGGCCAGACCUUUGGUCUGUUUUGCUCACAAAUGUAUCUUAACCACAUGCUGAAAAAAGCAUAGAUCAUCAUAAAAAGUUAUUAAAAUAUUGAAUAAAGGAAUUUUCCUCUAAGUACAGUUUUAUAGUCAUAUCGAUUUUGUGCAAUAUUUGAGCAAUCUUUUGGUCUUGAGUGUUUUCUUAUUUUUGACCCAGUAGAUCUUUAGAAAUUAUAUUAAAUGUUUAAAUGCACAAUUAUUUUUAUGUAUGGCUUAAUUACAUUGAAAUACUUAAAAUGAUGUGCUUGCUAAAGAGUUUUUAAAUUUGAGGAGUAUUUUCUUUAUAGUCUAAUGUACCACGAAUAUUCAUAAAUAUUCUUGGUAUAUUGAAGAUAAUGUGUAUUCUCUAAUUUUUGGAUGCAAGAUAUCUUUGUAUGUUAGUCAUUUUAUAAAUUGUACUGUUUAAUAAAAUUUUCUAUAGUCUCACCUUUUUUCUCAUUAAAUUAUUUAUUAAGAAAGUGAUAUUAAAAUAUCUCACUAUUAAUCAGGACUUAGACAUGUAUUUUUGUAACUAUCGAUUUGGUUUUAUAUAUUUUCAGGUUAUAUUAUCAAGUUUAUACAAGUUUAAAAUUGUUAUAAUUGCCUGCUAAGUUGAACCUUUUAUUGCUGUAAAAGAAUAUUUCUGUAUAAGUAAUACUUCGUUUGAAGUCUAUUUGUCAGAUACCUCUACAGCAACAAUAGCCUUACAUUGUCUCUUGUUUGCCCUUUAUAGCUUUUGUCCACCUCUCUCUUUUUGACUUCAUGUGUCAGCAUCUUUUAGAUCAGCUUCUGUUAAAUAAUGUAUUAUUAGAUUAGCUUGUCUAUCCUAUCUGGAAAUAUUUAACAACUGGCAAGUUGUGUCCAUUAUUGGAGUAGGCCAAUCACAUAGUAGGUCCUCAAAAAAAAUUUGUUGAAGGAAUAAAUGAGUAAAUAAUUUUUUUCUGAUAUAUUUGAGUUGUAAAUUUUAUAUUAACUGUAAUUAUAUAUAUGUAUGACUAACACAGGUAUAUAAGUAUUUAGAUUUCUUUAUACUACUUUGUUUUAAUUUCUACUUUUUUUCUGAUUUUCCCCGUUUCUUGCUUUUUUAUUAAAAUAACAUUUUAUUAUUACUUUUUAUGCUACUACUCUAAAAUGUAUAUACUAUAUUUGUCUUUUUUUAGUCAUUAAACUUUUUUUACCUAGUGAGUUAAUAAAAUAUACACAAUCUUAUCUUUACAAACCUAUCCUACAAUACAAAAGUCAGUUCAUCCCUUUGUACAUAUUUUUUUAAAUUUUGGUUGGGUGUUUUCAUUUCACCUUGCUUUCUUCAAGCCAAUAUUAAUGACUAUUAGUGCUGUUUUAGGGAACCCACGUUGACAUAGAUUUGCUCACAUACUUAUGGUUCCCCUCAUCACCAUUCACUGUGGCUUCACAGGCCUUCCCCACGAGGCCAGUUUUCUUCUUCAGGAGUGGAAACUUCCACGGUUCUUUCAGUGAGAGUUUGUUGGUGAUAACCUCUCUGCGGUUUUGUUCACGUAAAAUAUUUUCAUUUCACCUUCACUCUGAAAUAUAAUAUUGCUGGGUACGAAGUGUUACAGUAGUAGUUAUUUUACCUUCAGCACUCUGAAGAAAUUUGUUCUGUCUCUCGACUUCCACAGAGAAAACGGAGUUGAACUGCCAUCCUUUUAAAUAAUUUGACAUUUCUCUCAGGUUGCCUUUAAGACUUUUAUCUUUAUUUUUGAAGUACAGCAGUUUAACUACAAAGCAUCUAAGUUUGGGUUUCUUUUCCAUCAAGCUGGCUACCUAAGUCUGAUGAUUUCUGAAUUUUAUCAUGAAUUCCUUUUGAAAAAUAUUUCCCCCUAUCACCUCUAGUACCCCAUUUUUUCUGAAACAAAUUAGGCUAAACUUUUCCAUUCUACCCUUCUUUUCUUCUACUUCUUCCUACUUUACAUCUCUUCUCUCUCUUCUGAACUCUUGGCAAUGUCUUCCUGUCAAAUCCUUGCACCGAUUCCUCAAGCUGUCUUAUUUACUGUCCUUUACAUUGUCUCAAAUACUUUUGAAUUUCAGUGAUCACAUUUUCUUUUCUAGAGGUUCUAUGUGUUCUUUUAAAACAUGCCUGAAAUGCUAUUGGUAGUAUCUUAUUCCUUUCUCAUGGUUCUCAUUUUUUACAUUCUUCAACAUUUUAAACACACAAUUUAUA